RNAcentral lists this long non-coding RNA (1032 nucleotides) under Monodelphis domestica (gray short-tailed opossum). Its description in RNAcentral is "lncRNA (ENSMODG00000039396.1)". The record is from RNAcentral. Lineage: Eukaryota; Metazoa; Chordata; Mammalia; Didelphimorphia; Didelphidae.
CAAGAUCUGCUGACUGGAAAUGAGUCCCUGGACUUGGUGAGACUGUUCUUAAAUCUCUCCCUUUGAACUACCACAUAGAUAAAGUACUCAAGGAUGAGACAGAUGAAAUUUCUAAGAAUCUCUUCAUUGAAUUCAAUGAGUUAAUUUAACCAAGCAACAGACUGGGACAACAAAAGAUGAAGUGUCUUGCCCUGAGUCACAGGAGUUGGAAGUAUCUGAGCUAAGUUUUGGAGUCGUUGCAUGCUUCCUGAACCCCAAAGGGUAUCCUUCCACACCCAUAACAUUUUGACGCCCAACUUGAUUUUUGGCUCUCCUGAAAGCUACGCCUGUACCCCGGAUCGUCCACGAGGUCACGGCUUCUCAGUUGCUUCUAGGGUAAAAGUGCUCAUGAGAGUCACCCAGAUGCCACAUUCCACCAUAACCCCGGCAACCAUCCCAGCCUGCUGCUCUGGACACUGUCUACAGUCAAUGCCUAAGGACCUCUCUACGCCCAUUCUCAGCUCUGAAGAAGUUACAGAAGACAGACCGCUGUCCCUUUUUCCCUUACAUAUUAGGAGAGGGGGGAGAUGACAUGGGCACUGUACCCCAGAAACCCAGGAGAACUAUUAUCAGGGAAAACUCCUUUGCCCUUACAUCCUUGUGACUCUUAACCUAGAAACACCCAAUGACCUCACUCAGGGUCCUGAGAUGUUUACCCCCUUUUGUCCUCUAGAUUUAAGGUGGACAAAGAAAUGAAUUUUUAUGCCUUCAGGCAGACCCCAGUCAGAUGACCACCUCACCCCACCAAAUGCCUGAGGGACUAACAUUCUGGUCAGGUCCACUCCAGGACAUAGUAUCUAAAGAGUAUAUAAACCCCAGAACUGAUGUCCUCUGGGGGGAUGGCCUCUCCAUCAUGCUGUCCCCAUGGAGGAACAGCCUUUCCUUUCAUGCUGUCCUCCCAGGAACUGCUCCCCAUCUUGCUGUUCUACCUUGCUAUCCUCCUGGCCACUCUCAACAUUACUCUCUAAAUUAAUAAAUCUCUUUUUGUUUUCA